This 273-nucleotide unclassified non-coding RNA is filed under the name uncultured fungus. RNAcentral describes it as "partial contains 5.8S ribosomal RNA, internal transcribed spacer 2, and large subunit ribosomal RNA". The stretch from base 1 to 52 matches the Rfam family "5.8S ribosomal RNA", at positions 103 to 154 of the family's 154-position model. Lineage: Eukaryota; Fungi. The record is from RNAcentral.
AACGCACAUUGCGCCCUUUGGUAUUCCGAAGGGCAUGCCUGUUCGAGCGUCAUUAUCACCCCUCAAGCCCUGUGCUUGAUGUUGGACGGCUUUGGUCGAGUGUCUUCGACCCCUCCUAAAGACAAUGACGGCGGCCUGUGGCGCUCCCGGUACACUGAGCUUUUAACUAGGCACGUAUCGGAUAAGGGCGCCCAGGACACGGUCCUUCCUCCCUUAAGUGGGAAAGUUUUCAAGGUUGACCUCGGAUCAGGUAGGAAUACGCGCUGAACUUAA